GGAAGAGGCUUAGCUACAACAGUUAAAGUUAUGUUCAAAUUGAUUGCAGUUUCAACUGCAGCUGUUGGAGAGAAUGCUUUUAAAUAAAAAGUAAAGUUACCUUACUAAUCACUUUUUAAAUAAAAAAUUUUUUAUAUUUCACAUAAUCUCACCACCAUGUAUAAAAUAAUAAAAUUUUAAAAAUAUAUAUAUAUAAACUGCAUGCAAUCAAAUAAACUAUUCUUAGUUAUAAUACUUUUAAAUAUAUACAACCAAGAAAUAUACAUAAAAUUAUUACUGUUAUAUUUUUAAUUAUAUUCAACUC
RNAcentral lists this long non-coding RNA (304 nucleotides) under Ananas comosus (pineapple). Its description in RNAcentral is "long non-coding RNA (ACOM_LNC040521)". The record is from RNAcentral. Lineage: Eukaryota; Viridiplantae; Streptophyta; Magnoliopsida; Poales; Bromeliaceae.